UACGUAGGGGGCUAGCGUUGUCCGGAAUCAUUGGGCGUAAAGCGCGCGUAGGCGGCCCUGUUAGUCCGCUGUAAAAGUCAAAGGCUCAACCUUUGAAUGCCGGUGGAUACUGCAGGGCUAGAGUCCGGAAGAGGCGAGUGGAACUCCUGGUGUAGCGGUGGAAUGCGCAGAUAUCAGGAAGAACACCGAUGGCGAAGGCAGCUCGCUGGGACGGUACUGACGCUGAGGCGCGAAAGCGUGGGGAGCGAACAGG
This 253-nucleotide ribosomal RNA is filed under the name uncultured bacterium. RNAcentral describes it as "partial 16S ribosomal RNA". It matches the Rfam family "Bacterial small subunit ribosomal RNA", at positions 524 to 776 of the family's 1533-position model. The record is from RNAcentral.